AGAGAGGUGGCCGAGCGGUCGAAGGCGCGCGCUUGGAAAGCGUGUAUACGAAGUAAUUCGUAUCGAGGGUUCGAAUCCCUUCCUCUCUGCAA
Molecule: transfer RNA, 92 nt
Filed under: Rhodothermaeota bacterium MED-G19
Lineage: Bacteria; Pseudomonadati; Rhodothermota
Description: tRNA-Ser
Rfam family: tRNA
About the family: Transfer RNA (tRNA) molecules are approximately 80 nucleotides in length. Their secondary structure includes four short double-helical elements and three loops (D, anti-codon, and T loops).
Source: RNAcentral